ACUCUUGUAGUUGAAGUACAACGAUGGUUUUUCGAAUCGUUGGUUUUGGUUAGAGUCCAGACAGGAGUA
RNAcentral lists this transfer RNA (69 nucleotides) under Brycon orbignyanus. RNAcentral's name for it is "tRNA-Glu". It matches the Rfam family "tRNA". Rfam says of the family: Transfer RNA (tRNA) molecules are approximately 80 nucleotides in length. Their secondary structure includes four short double-helical elements and three loops (D, anti-codon, and T loops). Lineage: Eukaryota; Metazoa; Chordata; Actinopteri; Characiformes; Bryconidae. The record is from RNAcentral.